AACGUGUCGCGAUGGAUGACUUGUCUUCCUAUUUAGUUGAAGAACGCAGUAAAGUGCGAUAAGUGGUAUCAAUUGCAGAAUCAUUCAAUUACCGAAUCUUUGAACGCAAACGGCGAAUGGGAGAAGCUCUAUUGCGUCAUCCCCGUGCAUGCCAUAUUCUCAGUGUAAA
This 169-nucleotide ribosomal RNA is filed under the name Leishmania tropica. RNAcentral describes it as "5.8S ribosomal RNA". It matches the Rfam family "5.8S ribosomal RNA". Rfam says of the family: 5.8S ribosomal RNA (5.8S rRNA) is a component of the large subunit of the eukaryotic ribosome. It is transcribed by RNA polymerase I as part of the 45S precursor that also contains 18S and 28S rRNA. Lineage: Eukaryota; Euglenozoa; Kinetoplastea; Trypanosomatida; Trypanosomatidae. The record is from RNAcentral.